Molecule: ribosomal RNA, 393 nt
Filed under: uncultured bacterium
Lineage: Bacteria
Description: partial 16S ribosomal RNA
Rfam family: Bacterial small subunit ribosomal RNA
Source: RNAcentral
AUACGGAGGAUGCAAGCGUUACCCGGAUUUAUUGGGUUUAAAGGGUGCGUAGGCGGUUUGCUAAGCGGGAGGUGAAAUGCCGGCGCUCAACGUCGGAAGUGCCUCCCGAACUGGUGGACUUGAAUGACUCUGCCGUGGGAGGAAUGUGUAGUGUAGCGGUGAAAUGCUUAGAGAUUACACAGAACACCGAUUGCGAAGGCAUCUCACGAAGGGUUGAUUGACGCUGAGGCACGAAAGCGUGGGGAUCAAACAGGAUUAGAUACCCUGGUAGUCCACGCAGUAAACGAUGAUGGCUAACCGCUGGAUCCAUCGGUUCAGUGGCCGAGCGAAAGCGAUAAGCCAUCCACCUGGGGAGUACGACCGCAAGGUUGAAACUCAAAGGAAUUGACGGGG